RNAcentral lists this ribosomal RNA (117 nucleotides) under Ruminococcus sp. The record is from RNAcentral. Lineage: Bacteria; Bacillati; Bacillota; Clostridia; Eubacteriales; Oscillospiraceae.
AUCGGUGCUUAUGGCGGUGAGGUCACACCCGUUCCCAUUCCGAACACGGAAGUUAAGCUCACUAGCGAUGAUGAUACUUGGCUGGCGACGGCCUGGGAAAGUAAUACGGUGCCGAUA